Chiroxiphia lanceolata (lance-tailed manakin) is the source of this 100-nucleotide long non-coding RNA. RefSeq lists it as uncharacterized. Lineage: Eukaryota; Metazoa; Chordata; Aves; Passeriformes; Pipridae. The record is from RefSeq and is a predicted model, not a curated record. The transcript is spliced from 3 exons.
AAUAGCAUCUGGGAUUGUAUUCGUGGAGCAAGACUGCCAUGUAGUGUCUAUUUCUUCUGGGAGGGGCAGUCAUUUUCACAGAGUGGUCUUCACCCUUAGU